UGUGCUGUCAGCACCGUGGAUGAGUGGAGCUAAUAUUUCCUCUCAUGGCCAGUCAGCUUUUCAUCUUACAUGAGGGAAACUGAUGCCAGAGGGGUCAAGUGACAGGCAAAGCCUCCUGGGCCCCAGAGGGAGGGCUGGCAUGGGUGGGGAGUCAGUGCUUUAGUGUCCCUUGCUGUUCAAGAGACCUGAAGUGCAGCUUCUUCUCCUGCUCCAGCUCCCCAAUCUACACCUGUGCUGACACUGAGAUAGUUUGCUAAGGCUGGAAACCAAGUGUCUGAGAUUUACCUCAAAACUGUUCAGCAGAUCCUCACAGGUUCUUGGAAGCUCUAGGUCCCAGUGGGUUUUGUGGGGAGAAAGACUUGGCUCAAAUCCUAGCUAUUCUAGCACUUAAAUUGUGAUCCAGGGCAAGUUAACAGCUUCUCUCAGCCUCAGUUUUGCCAUAGGUGAAAUGGGACCUCAUACUUACCUCUGGGAAUUGUGUGAAAUAAAUGAACAAGGUCUUACAUAUAUUUUAUAAUAUAUAAAUAUACAUGCAUACAUAAAUAUAUAUAAAAUCUUAUACAGUGGUUUGAGAAGCAGACUAGAAGUAUCUAUUUCAUGUGAAGCACAACAUCGUUCCCUGCCACCUGAAGUGGUGGAUAAUUCCCAGGGAAACUGUAGGAGCCAUUAGGGCAGACAGAAUUACUCAAGGUCACUGAGUUUGGAUUUCAGAGGAAAGGCAGAAUAGAAGAAUGAGGGAUCUGAGAGGAAGCAAGUGGUCUCUGAAGACCUGGAAGGCAUCACACCAGGGUCUAAGAAGGAGCCUGUGCACCAGACCACACAUUACAGCUAUGAAUCACUCUUCCCAGGGUCUGGGAAACCAACAUCAGAUGCCAAGAAGUGUGUGUGGUUGGGUAAGCAUUGGAAAGCUCUGCUGUGCUGAGGAGGCCUAUGAAACAGAGAAGAAUGGCUGCAUUGUCAUGGUGAUGAUAUGGCCUGAGCCUAUAACUGGGGAUAACUCUUGGUGCUGUCUGGAAGAAAGCUCUUGGAAUCGUAAGAGGAGAAAAUUCCUGAGCUACUUCCAUUGGGGCACAGAGGUCCCUUCUCUCUUUAAGUGGGAAUCACCUGCACCCAGAAGGGAUGAUGCUUCCUGCAUCCUUUGCAGGAGGUCAUUUUCCAAGUCUGGUGGAGAGUUACCAUCUGCCUGGAAACAUGCCAGUGGUAGCCUCACAGUGUCUGAAACUGAAGAAUACCCAUGAUGGGGGAUCGGACUUGCUUUGAUAUUAUCUAACUGGUUAAUCAGAGCUGUUUGAGGGGGUACAACUAUUGCCAAAUUCAAAUACAUCAAGGGACCCUGGAGAUUACUGAGAAAAUGAAGAUGAAUAAAGACAUGCUGUGUGCAGUGAAAUGUAAUGUAACCCCAGAAUAAAUAACAAAUGGG
RNAcentral lists this long non-coding RNA (1420 nucleotides) under Fukomys damarensis (Damara mole-rat). RNAcentral describes it as "lncRNA (ENSFDAG00000023927.1)". The record is from RNAcentral. Lineage: Eukaryota; Metazoa; Chordata; Mammalia; Rodentia; Bathyergidae.